Molecule: ribosomal RNA, 734 nt
Filed under: uncultured bacterium
Lineage: Bacteria
Description: bacterial SSU rRNA
Rfam family: Bacterial small subunit ribosomal RNA
Source: RNAcentral
GAUGAACGCUAGCGGCAGGCUUAACACAUGCAAGUCGAGGGGUAUAGGUUUUCGGACCUAGAGACCGGCGCACGGGUGCGUAACGCGUAUGCAAUCUACCUUUCACAGAGGGAUAGCCCAGAGAAAUUUGGAUUAAUACCUCAUAGUGUCUGGUUUUCGCAUGGAGACCAGAUUAAAGUUCCAACGGUGAAAGAUGAGCAUGCGUCCCAUUAGCUAGAUGGUAAGGUAACGGCUUACUAUGGCAACGAUGGGUAGGGGUCCUGAGAGGGAGAUCCCCCACACUGGUGACUGAGACACGGGACCAGACUCCUACGGGAGGCAGCAGUGAGGAAUAUUGGUCAAUGGACGCAAGUCUGAACCAGCCAUGCCGUGUGCAGGAUGACGGUCCUAUGGAUUGUAAACUGCUUUUUGUACGAGAAGAAACACUCCUACGUGUAGGGGCUUGACGGUAUCGUAAGAAUAAGGAUCGGCUAACUCCGUGCCAGCAGCCGCGGUAAUACGGAGGAUCCAAGCGUUAUCCGGAAUCAUUGGGUUUAAAGGGUCCGUAGGCGGUUUAGUAAGUCAGUGGUGAAAGCCCAUCGCUCAACGGUGGAACGGCCCAUUGAUACUGCUAGACUUGAAUUAUUAGGAAGUAACUAGAAUAUGUAGUGUAGCGGUGAAAUGCUUAGAGAUUACAUGGAAUACCAAUUUGCGAAGGCAGGUUACUACUAGUGGAUUGACGCUGAUGGACGAAA